AGGUAUACAUAUGAACAAGAACAAGAUGUGACCCUGUGAACGACUCCCCAAAGCUGGUGCUAGGAGCGCAGCGGUCCACCUUAACAAAGGGCUCUUAUACUUCAACAGAUACAGAGUAGGUGUCCUCCUAUACCAUAAAUCAGUAAGAGCAGGUACGACCUCUCUCAUGACCCUAAGAUGUGUGUGCAUGCCAGAACACUCUGGAAGGCACACAGAGUCUUUACAGACUGCUAAGGAUCAAACCUCUAUUAAUCUACAAACAUUUAUAUACUUCUAAGCAUAAAUGACAAUCCAACAAUAUAAACCUUACAAGAACCAACAGAAAGUAAAUGCAAAAAUAAAAACUCACUUUUUACGAAUACAGAAGUCACACCUAUGUAGAUGCAUCUGUGAAGAUGCAUUUAAACUUUCCUUGUUUUCCUCGUUCACUAGGUGGUUGUAAAGUGACGCCCAGUGCUCUACGUGGUCACCCUUCUGAUCCCAAGCUCUUUCCUCAUGCUCAUUGACAUCCUGUCCUUCUACCUGCCUCCCCAUAGCGUCGACCGCGCCUCCUUCAAAAUGACCCUCAUCCUGGGCUACACAGUCUUCCUGCUCAUCAUACGACCUGCUGCCGAGUACGGCAAAUGGCACUCGCAUCAUAGGUAUCUAUUUCUCACUGUGUCUUGCCCUCAUGGUUAUCAGUCUACUGGAAACAGUCAUCAUUACCAACGUCCUCCACCAUAACUCCUUGAAAUAUCGGGAGGUUCCAAAGUGGGUUAGGGUUGUUGUGCUCAAACGUAUAGCAAACCUCAUCUGCUACCGCUGGCCA
Molecule: long non-coding RNA, 808 nt
Organism: Oreochromis aureus
Lineage: Eukaryota; Metazoa; Chordata; Actinopteri; Cichliformes; Cichlidae
Source: Ensembl